This 30-nucleotide non-coding RNA is filed under the name Homo sapiens (human). Lineage: Eukaryota; Metazoa; Chordata; Mammalia; Primates; Hominidae. The record is from RNAcentral.
AUAUAUGUAAGAUCUACAUUGGUUUGGUCC